RNAcentral lists this ribosomal RNA (883 nucleotides) under uncultured archaeon. Its description in RNAcentral is "bacterial SSU rRNA". It matches the Rfam family "Archaeal small subunit ribosomal RNA", at positions 459 to 1344 of the family's 1478-position model. The record is from RNAcentral.
CAGCAGCCGCGGUAAUACCUGCAGCUCAAGUGGUGACCGCUAUUAUUGGGCCUAAAACGUUCGUAGCCGGCUGAGUAAAUGCCUGGGUAAAUCGUGCCGCUUAACGGUACGAAUUCCGGGUAGACUGCUUAGCUUGAGACCGGGAGAAGCUAGAGGUACUCCUGGGGUAGGGGUGAAAUCCUGUAAUCCUGGGGGGACCACCAGUGGCGAAGGCGUCUAGCUAGAACGGGUCUGACGGUGAGGAACGAAACCCUGGGGCGCAAACCGGAUUAGAUACCCGGGUAGUCCAGGGCGCAAACGCUGCUUGCUUGAUGUUAGCUGGGCUCCGAGCUCAGCUAGUGUCGGAGUGAAGAUGUUAAGCAAGCUGCCUGGGAAGUACGAUCGCAAGAUUGAAACUUAAAGGAAUUGGCGGGGGAGCACAGCAACGGGUGGAGCGUGCGGUUUAAUUGGAUUCAACGCCGGAAAACUCACCGGAGGCGACGGUUACGUGAAGGCCAGGCUGAUGACCUUGCCAGAUUUUCCGAGAGGUGGUGCAUGGCCGCCGUCAGUUCGUACCGUAAGGCGUUCUGUUAAGUCAGAUAACGAACGAGACCCUCAUCCUUAAUUGCUAUUGGUAACUCCGGUUAUUAAGCACAUUAAGGAGACCGCUGGCGAUAAGUCAGAGGAAGGCGAGGGCAACGGUAGGUCAGUAUGCCCUGAAUCCUCCGGGCUACACGCGCGCUACAAAGGCCAGGACAAUGGGUUUCAACACCGAAAGGUGAAGGUAAUCUCGAAACCUGGUCAUAGUUCGGAUUGAGGGUUGAAACUCACCCUCAUGAAGCUGGAAUCCGUAGUAAUCGCGGAUCAACAUCCCGCGGUGAAUAUGUCCCUGCCCCUUGCACAC